Molecule: long non-coding RNA, 229 nt
Filed under: Mytilus galloprovincialis (Mediterranean mussel)
Lineage: Eukaryota; Metazoa; Mollusca; Bivalvia; Mytilida; Mytilidae
Source: RNAcentral
CUGCCCGCUAGACAUGUACACCUUACAAUCAUUCCAUACAACAAAUAUAGUAGACCUAUUGAAUAUAGUAUGAGAAAAACAGACCAAAACACAAAAAUUUAACUAUAACCACUGAACCAUGAAAAUGAGGUCAAGGUCAGAUGACACCUGCCAGUUGGACAUGUACACCUUACAGUCCUUCCAUACACCGAAUAUACUAGCCCUAUUGCUUAUAGUAUCUAAGAUAUGG